UGCCUCAAAGCUCAAGUGGCAGAGCGGGCGGCUGUUAACCGCAAGGUUGCAGGUUCGAUCCCUGCUGGGGCAG
Molecule: transfer RNA, 73 nt
Filed under: Leptolyngbyaceae cyanobacterium SM1_3_5
Lineage: Bacteria; Bacillati; Cyanobacteriota; Cyanophyceae; Leptolyngbyales; Leptolyngbyaceae
Description: tRNA-Asn
Rfam family: tRNA
About the family: Transfer RNA (tRNA) molecules are approximately 80 nucleotides in length. Their secondary structure includes four short double-helical elements and three loops (D, anti-codon, and T loops). Further hydrogen bonds mediate the characteristic L-shaped molecular structure. tRNAs have two regions of fundamental functional importance: the anti-codon, which is responsible for specific mRNA codon recognition, and the 3' end, to which the tRNAs corresponding amino acid is attached (by aminoacyl-tRNA synthetases). tRNAs cope with the degeneracy of the genetic code in two manners: having more than one tRNA (with a specific anti-codon) for a particular amino acid; and 'wobble' base-pairing, i.e. permitting non-standard base-pairing at the 3rd anti-codon position.
Source: RNAcentral